This 571-nucleotide long non-coding RNA is filed under the name Homo sapiens (human). Its description in RNAcentral is "HSALNT0133652". Lineage: Eukaryota; Metazoa; Chordata; Mammalia; Primates; Hominidae. The record is from RNAcentral.
AUAUUUAUUUGCUGAUUCCCCCUACAGGCACAUUGAGUUGCCCAAAGAUUAGACUGGGUCGCCCAUGAGGUCUCAGUCAUAUUCUUCAUUAGAAAUUGUUUUUUUUUUUUUGGCCUCUAACAGAGAAAUGUGGGAGGAAUGAGUUCCUAAAUUGAAUGUCAAAGUUCUUAGGUAACCCCUAUACCCCCAAUUCCCAAAAAUAGUGUCUUGACAGCUGAUGCAUUAGAAGUUACAGUGUUUAUUUUGUUUUCUUUCUUCCUUGUUUUCCCUUGAAUAUAGAUGCCUAAUGGUUCAGAUGACACUUGGUCCCCCAAAUUGUACAACACACAUGAAUCUAGUUCAUGUUGUUUCAUUGAAACACAUGCUCAAAACUCUGUCCUGUGUAUCAUACACUCACCAAAGACAGACAUGUAAAAGAUAUUUCUUAGAGUGGCCGUUGCAAAUAGUAAUCAUGGUUUUGUUAUUUCAAUGGAAUGCUAUGUUCACCUUUCUUCACCUUUCUGUUCUGUAUGUUAUAAACUCUCCAAAGACAAAUGUAUAAAAUAAGUUUCUAAGCAUGUUACUUGUGGGU